Molecule: non-coding RNA, 3750 nt
Organism: Amborella trichopoda
Lineage: Eukaryota; Viridiplantae; Streptophyta; Magnoliopsida; Amborellales; Amborellaceae
Source: RefSeq, a predicted model, not a curated record
UACAUGCGUCACUCUCCUCCUUCCCCUAGGAACCUUCACGCACUUUCUUUCUCUGAGAACCACAGCCGAGACUGCCCUCUUUCUCUCUCUAAAACCCUGCUCGAGAAAACACCCUCAGGCCAUCUAUCCCGUUUGAAAGCUCUCUCUCUGCAAAACCAUAUCUGGGAAAUCGAUCCCAUCCUGUUUUCCAGCCAAAUGUUCCCGAAUCCACGAAAAUCCCUUUGAGCGGAUCGGGGCCUUCUCUCUCCACAAAUUGAUUUACAGAGAGAGGUUGAAGCUUUAUCUUUCUACAGAAUUGUAGAGAGAUAAAUGGAGGCAGUUGCAGAGGGGUUAUGGGGACUUGCAGAUGUCCACGAGAAGAACGGGGACCUGAAAGCAGCAGUGAAAUGCUUAGAAGCCAUUUGUCAAUGUCAAGUUUCGUUUCUGCCCAUCAUCGAGGUCAAGACUCGUAUUAGGAUCGCAUCGAUUCUCCUUAAUCUCACACACAACGUCAAGCACGCCAAAUCUCACCUUGAAAGAGCUCAAUUGCUUUUAAAGCAAAUUCCUUCAUGUUUUGAGUUGAAGUGCAGAGCAUACAGCUUGCUUAGUCAAUGCUACCAUUUAGUGGGUGCAGUUCUUCCUCAGAAGCAGAUGUUGAUAAGGGGCUUGGAAUUGAUUGCUUCUAUUGGAGAUGGCUUGUCAGGACAGUUGUGGUUCUGUAACUUCAAUAUACAACUUGCAAAUGCUUUGAUAAUAGAAGGAGAUUAUCGAGGUGCACUAUGUGCUUUGGAACGUGGGCAGCAGUGUGCUGUUGCGACAGGUUAUAUUGAACUUCAGUUGGUUUUUGCAACUUCAGUGCUGCACCUACACCUCAUGCAAUGGGAAGAUGUAAAUGCUGUCAAGAGAGCUGUUGAAAAAUGUGAUGAAGUUUGGGCUAGUGUUCCACCUCAUCUGAGGCAGCCCUGUGUUGGUUUAUAUCUUUACAGUGAGCUAUUGCACGCAUUUUAUCUACUCAAAGUAUGUGAUAUCAAGGCUGUCGCUCAGCAUGUUGACAAGCUUGAUGCUACUUUAAAAGAUGACUAUCAACACACAAGUUCUGGUAAUGGAGAAUUGCAUGAACAACUGAUGUGGAGGAAUAAACUAGGGUUGGCUCCUGCUCCACUUAAUGGGGAGUGGCUUCCCAAAAGCGCUGUCCAUGUUCUGGUUGAUCUUGUUGCAGUUAUAUCUGGGCGUCCGAAAGGGUUAUUCAAGGAAUGUGGGAGACGGAUUCAAUCUGGAUUGCGUGUGGUUCAAGAGGAACUAGAGAAGCUCGGAAUCAUUAAUAAUGUGAGAGAGGUAGAUUUGCAACACUGGGCCAUAUGGAAGUCAGGCACAUAUUUGAUGCUGCUCAUGCACUUAUUGGAAAACAAAGUAAUAAUUGAGCUCACGCGAUCUGAAUUUGUUGAAGCACAAGAGGCACUUAUUCUAAUGAAGAAAUGGUUUAUGCGCUUCCCCAUUAUUUUGCAAGGGUGCGAAAGCACAAUUGAAAUGCUCAUUGGCCAGUAUGCACAUUCCCUAGGAUGCUUUAACGAAGCUGCUUCACAUUUUAUUGAAGCAACAAAGCUUACUGAGAGCAGAUCCAUGCAAGCUAUGUGCCAAAUUUAUGCAGCCGUGUCUUACAUUUGUAUUGGAGAUGCAGAAUCAUCGUCUAAGGCAUUAGACUUAAUAGGGCCCAUUUAUAGGGCCAUGGACUCUUAUAUAGGAGUGCGAGAGAAAACAUGUGUUCUUUUCACUUAUGGGCUUUUGCUGAUGAAGCAACACAACUUGCAGGAAGCUCGAAUCCGACUGGCAAGUGGUUUGAGGUUGACACACCAACAUUUGGGCAAUAUUCAACUUGUUUCCCAGUACUUGACAAUUCUUGGAAGCUUGGCUCUUGCUCUCCAUGACAGUGGGCAAGCCAGGGAGAUUUUGAAGUCUUCUUUGACAUUAGCCAAGACACUUUAUGACAUACCUACACAGAUUUGGGUGCUAUCAGUCUUAACAGAGUUGUAUCAAGAACUGGGUGAAACUGCAAAUGAAAUGGAGAACUCUGAGUAUGAAAGGAAAAAAGCUGAUGAUUUGAAAAAAAGAAUUUCUGAUGCAGUUUCUUCAGUGCAUCACCUUGAUUUGAUCCAGACUCAGGUGGACAAAGUUAAACUUGAGGUCCAGCAGUUGCAAGAGCUCGACAUCAAGAGAGUCCAGCCUGCUUCUUCUUUGAGAACUGAUCUUGAGAUCCCAGAGUCCAUGGAUAUGCUCGUACAGUCAUCGUCUGCUUCAUCAAAACUAUCUGCUGAAAGGAACAGGAGCCGACGAAAAGAAAAGAUGCAUCUUCCUUAAUCGAUUUUAAUUAUAGAACAAAUCCCAUCAUCUUGCUCAUGGGUACCUUCUGAUUCUUAGUUUCCAAAAGGGCAUUUUGGCUUCAUGGGUGCUUCCAUACUUUUUUCGUAUGUAUAUGCUAACAUCUAUAUGAUCUGUGCAGCUCUGUAGCAUUUCAAAAGCAUUUCAGAGAAUCAUUGGAUAGAACGUUGUACUUCCUUUGUGAGUCUGUUUGUUUUGAAUGUAUGUCAUACCAAAGUAUGAAAUAAGAAAAUGUUUUUACUCUGAACUCUCAAAUUAUGACAUGAAUAGAAGCUUGAUCUCUUUGGGGUAGGCAUUUAGGAAGGUGACCAUUAUCCAAUGGACUAGGGGAAAACCAUAUUCUAUUAGAUCCUCUUCAUAUGGACUUAACUGUAGUACCUUGAAAUCUUUUGUUUGCCUAUUUAUGGGUUCCGGUACUGGCUUGUCCUAAUGACCGACAGUCUAAUCAAGUCAUCCAUCUGGCCCAUAGUUACUGGGAUCUCUCAAUUUGAUGGCAAUCUAGGGGAUCCCAUGCCCCCAGAGCUGGCCCUUGGGUGGAUCUUGCUCCUGUAUGGGAGGGAGGGGGGGGACACGAUCUUUUAUGAGGAAACAAGUACCAAAUGCAUAUUUGUUAAAAACAAAGUAAUUAUCUUGCAAAAUGUUGUUCUAUAUAUUUCUAAAGAGAAAAGAUAUAUGUUUGCCACAUGGGUUUUAGACCUUUAGAACUUAUCAUGCGAUUCCAAAAAUGUUAGGAUCUAGCUCCCAACAUGUUAGGAUCGAGAUCUCUAAUUCAAGGUGUAUGAAUGUCAAUCCUGACCAUGGGGAGCUUCUAGCCUAUCACAAUCCCAUGUUCCCAAUUUCACUGCAGGUCCCGAUUCCAACAACUAUGAUCUGGCCAUCUUUGUUCUUAUUUAUAUGUUGGACAAGUUAGUUUAGUCGGAUGGUGGUCACAUUUGAUUGUUUUAAGUCUUGUUAUUAGGAUGAGUUGGUGCAUGUAUUUACAGAAGUUAUGUGAGUUUGGGCAUAUGUCAGACCUUCAAGAGCCAAAAGGGAAUACUUAUAGGCCCCUCUAUGAAGAUUAAAAUGUCAAGCAUCCACAUGCCGCCCAUAAGACAUUAAGAGGUUUAGAGGGACACUGGUCUGCGGUUUCCUCAACAAGGAGUGCACAUCGAUUAUAGAGUUCCUCAAAGCUAAAUUUGGUUGGAAUUGACUGGGAGUGACGUGGUUAUUUUUGGGGCGGUUUGCCAACUUGAGAUGGCGAGGAAAUGCUUGGCUACCAACAGACAAGAAAUCAAUUAUUUAUUUAUUUUCUUUUCUGUUUUGGCUCAACAUGUAAUCCUCUUGUAACAUUCUUUAUUACAAGGUUUUUGUUCCACAAAUUAUUCUUAAAUUUAUUUUCCUCACGAUUUUCACUGA